GGGCGCGGGGCUGGGGCGGGGCUGCGCGUGCCAUCUCCUGAAAUCGCCGCGGGCGCGGGCCUCAUUCCUCAGAUGUGCAUUCUCACAUGGACAUCUUAUAAACGUCAUCAUUUCCCCAUUGUGAGCAUCAAAAGAGUUACUCUCAUUCCCCUUUCUCUAUACCAUAUGCGCAUGAUUUCAAAGGAAGCUAAAAUGUGUGGACCACACUUAAAGGGAACCUUCACUUUGGAUGUCAUCUUCUGGCUUCCAGCGCAGACUCUUCAGUCUCCAGCGCAGAUCCUCUGGCCUCCUGAUACAAACUUGCAUGGACACUACUGUGAGCCCCAGGUCUUCAACUGGAUCCUUCAAAUCUCCAAGGCACAGACAGACAUUUUGCAUCUUCCACACCUGACUCUGGGUGGCCACUGCUCUCCUAAUUGAUGCCCAGUGGACCUGAGAUGGGAUAAAAACCACUUGAACUGCUGGUUGCUGUAAAGGAACAACCUUUGGAGGCCUGGCCCAGCAGCACAUUCCUUUGGCACUGUACUCACUCAAUGUUUUCUUUUUUUGGACAUAUUCUUAGCUAGACCUAUUGCAUUCAUUACUCUGUUUUAUUUUUUCUCUCUGUUCACUUAAUUAAUUGACUUUCAGUGUUGGUUUUACAUUGUCAGGGUUUUAUUUGGAAUUAAUUAAUUUUGUGGUACUGAAAAUUGAACCUAGGGCCUUUGCACUAGCUACAUCUCUAGUCCCCCUUUCUCCACUUUUUAAAAAAUCUUUGAGAAAGGAUCUUAUUAAGUUGUUAAGUUGCCCAGGCUGGGCUGGAACUUGUGACCCUCCUGCCUCAGCCUCCCAUGGUGCUGGAAUAAUAGGUGUGCGCCACGAUGCCUGGCUUGUUUUUAUUGUUUUAUUUUAUUUUUGUUAUAUAACCAAUUCAUUUCAUUCUCCUUUUAAUUUUUUAUUUUAAAAUUAAAAUUGUGCCUGUUAUUACACUUAUUUUUACACUACUUCUGUCAUUUUAUCUUUCUUUCUUGUUUUUUUGUUUUUGGUACCGGGGAUCGAACUUGGGUCCUUGCGCUUGAGAAGCAGGCGGCGGAACCACUGAGCUAAAUCCCCGGCCCCAUUUUAUCUUUCUUUAUAUAUCUCUUUUUGCCAUUUUUUAGCAUGUGGAGGAUUCAGAACCCAGAGGGUUCAAAACCCAGUGUGAAAACUAGUUUAAGAAGAAAACAUCUGGCAUUCAACAGAUAUGGAAAAAGCCUUCUUGGAGCUUGUCUUGCCUGACAGAAAAUAGUAAUUUUGGGGAAAUGAGGUUACCAUCAACCCUCUCUUUGAGGGAGUUUCUCACCCACAAAGAUGAAAGCCACUUGCUCCUGCAUAGACAAACAUCAUCACAAACUUUCUUAUUUCUCAAACAUCUUUAUGUCUUUCCUAAAGAAAUAUAUUUGUUCUUCCCAUGUAAGUCUUUUUUCCAUCCUUCUCUUCCUAAGUUUGGAAUAUAGGCUUCUAAAUGCAGCCUUUUGGUGAGCUAGCUAAUUUUUUUGUUAGCCUCUAUAUGUG
RNAcentral lists this long non-coding RNA (1533 nucleotides) under Heterocephalus glaber (naked mole-rat). RNAcentral's name for it is "lncRNA (ENSHGLG00000041940.1)". Lineage: Eukaryota; Metazoa; Chordata; Mammalia; Rodentia; Bathyergidae. The record is from RNAcentral.